Molecule: non-coding RNA, 1212 nt
Organism: Tetranychus urticae (two-spotted spider mite)
Lineage: Eukaryota; Metazoa; Arthropoda; Arachnida; Trombidiformes; Tetranychidae
Source: RefSeq, a predicted model, not a curated record
AAAUGGUUUUACAAUUUUAACUUUAUUAUCAUUAGUACAAUAUAAAUUAUUUAGCGCAAAAAAAUGAAAACAAAUCUUGACAAACGUGUUUCAAUUGAAUGUAAAUUGAAAGUUUAACACAAUGAACACAUGUAUGGACAUUAUUCAAAGCAUUGGUCAAGUAUUAAUAUAAAUAAUACAUUGAAUACUCAACCUUUAACCUACAAUAAACGGUUAAAAAUGAACAGAUGAACAGGUAAAAAAAAGGUAAAAAAUAUAAUAAUAAUAAUGAGCUUAAAGAUGGUGAUAAAGAUGAAAGUAUUAAAAAGAUGGCAAAAAGCAAACAAAAGUUAUGACUUUACCUUACAAUGUUUAACCACUUAACUAGCAACUAUUUUUGAUGACAAAACCUUCAUACCUUUACAACUCUCCCAUCAUCAUUAUCAUCCUAUUUUUACUUCCGAUUCUUGCAUUCCUUUACCUUUCACUCUAAACGAUACAAUACAAGAAGGAAAGGAAAAAAAAUCAGCUGCAUUUGCAAUAAUAACAACAGCUUUUAAACCAAAGGGUCAAUCCUUUUGUAUUUCAAUUGACCAUCCAAAAAGGUUGACAAUGAGCUUACCAAUAAAGAUGACCUAACCUAAAAUACUAGUUUGUCACUCUUGACUGGACCAAUUGAAAUAAUCUUAAAACACUCUGCUAUUAACUUCAAUAUCAACUUAUCAAUCCAUUAAAUUGUUAACAAUACAAUCGACCAUAAAUAUCGAUCUAUCGACAUCUAAUAACAUAUGAUAGGCUAUCAAUGAUCAGCAAAUUUUUAAGAUUAUUGUCAAUGGCAAGUAAACAGUUUUAUUAUCAUUUUCAAUGUUUCAAAGCAAGUGGACAAAAAUUAGAUUCAAUUAUCGUUAAUUUAUGAUCAAGAGUCUUGUAAAUUAUCUAGAUUGGUAAUUGAAUGGAAAAGGUAAAUUGAUUUCAAGCUACUGAAGAUGGGCUUUUCAUUUUGUUGCCGUUUCGGCUGGCCCAGCAUAUUGUCACGAGUAACGUGCUAAACUACAUCUGAAUGAUCAGCUGCAGCAAAUGAGAAACCAACGUUUUAAUAAUGAUGAUAAUGAUGAUGAUAACAAGCAAUGGUUGGUGAAUCACAUAAUGUUCAGUGAAUAAUUUUUACUCAUAAUCAAAAUAUAAUGAAUAGUAAAACUUGAUAAUAACUUGGAAAAGCCAACAUUAAAUUUA